CUGGCCAGUCUAGCCAAUUGAGCUUUCUUCAGGACCUCUGGCUGCAAGGCCUUUUCCCCUGCAGGAAGAUGGAUCCUAACAGACCUUCCGGGAGAGCCUCUCCCCGCGGGGCAGACAUCUACCAGGUACCCUCCUGAGGGCCUGACCCUUGUACGCUCACAGACACGGAAGACUGAGGUAGAGCAGGCGCUGCAGUGAGGGCAGAGACAAGACCAGCUGCACCAAAGGUGGAGAAAAAGAGCAAGAAAAAGAAAUUCCACAGAAGCCCAGAGGGAAGGAUAGGAUUUUCUUCCCGCCCAGCAGCGAGUUGG
Molecule: long non-coding RNA, 311 nt
Organism: Psammomys obesus (fat sand rat)
Lineage: Eukaryota; Metazoa; Chordata; Mammalia; Rodentia; Muridae
Exons: 3
Source: RefSeq, a predicted model, not a curated record